AGCGAACGCUGGCGGCAGGCCUAACACAUGCAAGUCGAACGAACUCUUCGGAGUUAGUGGCGGACGGGUGAGUAACACGUGGGAACGUGCCUUUUGGUUCGGAAUAACUCAGGGAAACUUGUGCUAAUACCGAAUGUGCCCUUCGGGGGAAAGAUUUAUCGCCUUUAGAGCGGCCCGCGUCUGAUUAGCUAGUUGGUGAGGUAACGGCUCACCAAGGCGACGAUCAGUAGCUGGUCUGAGAGGAUGACCAGCCACACUGGGACUGAGACACGGCCCAGACUCCUACGGGAGGCAGCAGUGGGGAAUCUUGCGCAAUGGGCGAAAGCCUGACGCAGCCAUGCCGCGUGAAUGAUGAAGGUCUUAGGAUUGUAAAAUUCUUUCACCGGGGACGAUAAUGACGGUACCCGGAGAAGAAGCCCCGGCUAACUUCGUG
Molecule: ribosomal RNA, 433 nt
Filed under: uncultured bacterium
Lineage: Bacteria
Description: partial 16S ribosomal RNA
Rfam family: Bacterial small subunit ribosomal RNA
Source: RNAcentral